RNAcentral lists this ribosomal RNA (441 nucleotides) under uncultured bacterium. RNAcentral describes it as "partial 16S ribosomal RNA". It matches the Rfam family "Bacterial small subunit ribosomal RNA", at positions 338 to 795 of the family's 1533-position model. The record is from RNAcentral.
CCUACGGGUGGCAGCAGUGGGGGAUAUUGCACAAUGGGGGAAACCCUGAUGCAGCGACGCCGCGUGGGUGAAGAAGUAUUUCGGUAUGUAAAGCCCUAUCAGCAGGGAAGAAAGAAGACGGUACCUGACUAAGAAGCCCCGGCUAACUACGUGCCAGCAGCCGCGGUAAUACGUAGGGGGCGAGCGUUAUCCGGAUUCACUGGGUGUAAAGGGAGCGUAGACGGCCGUGCAAGCCGGGAGUGAAAGCCCGGGGCCCAACCCCGGGACUGCUCUUGGAACUGUGCGGCUGGAGUGCGGGAGGGGCAGGCGGAAUUCCUGGUGUAGCGGUGAAAUGCGUAGAUAUCAGGAGGAACACCGGCGGCGAAGGCGGCCUGCUGGACCGCGACUGACGUUGAGGCUCGAAAGCGUGGGGAGCGAACAGGAUUAGAUACCCCAGUAGUC